CGCGGCUCCGCACCAACUCGCCGCCCGAGCGGCUGCGCCGCGCACCCCGCGCCCCCNCGCCCGGGGCCUCCGCCUCAGGAGCGCCGAGACGCCACCCGAGAGCCGCAACGCACAGACCUGAGGAGGCCCCGCGCGCGCCGCACGGCCACUUCCGGCCUGGUCGCCGCCCCUCCCGCCGUGGGAGUCCGCACGCGGGCAAGAUGGCGGCCGCGGCGGCGCGGCCGGCGACCUGGGCGACCUGGGCGACCUGGGCCCCCCGGCCGGGAACCACGACCCCACCGCGGCGCUCCUCGGCCUUGGAAGGGGAGUUCCCCGGCUCGUGAGCCCCGCCCCCCCGCCGCACGGCCACUUCCGGCCUGGUCGCCGCCCCUCCCGCCGUGGGAGUCCGCACGCGGGCAAGAUGGCGGCCGCGGCGGCGCGGCCGGCGACCUGGGCGACCUGGGCGACCUGGGCCCCCCGGCCGGGAACCACGACCCCACCGCGGCGCUCCUCGGCCUUGGAAGGGGAGUUCCCCGGCUCGUGAGCCCCGCCCCCCGGCCGCCCGGGAGUAGCCACGCCUCGGGGGCGGGGCCACUGCUCAGGAGGCCCCGCCUUCCGCCCCAGCGCCCCGGCCCCUGCAGCCUGCGGGAGAGGUCUCCGGGGCACGGCCUCUCCGAGGAUUUAUCCAUGCUCAUACAACAUAUUUUUCUGAGUAAUAAAAUGUUAAAAAUAGAAUUGGCCAUGUCUAGUAACUGGUUAAACCCCCAGCAGACUGGAAUAGAACAAUAGGUGAUGAAUACUCCCAUGUUCCAAAGUGAGAUGCUACCACCUGCAGAACUGGAACAGAUUUUAUAGCCUGAAGACCCCAAACCUUCCUGAAGAGAGUUCGGAACUGAGAAGUCUGAGAGAGAGUUCUUUGGAGAAACUCAUUUUCAAAGAUUCUUACUACUAAUACCCUAGGAGAGAUCUAAGAGUGCUGUUGUCCAUGGAGCUUGAUCUGUGCAAGCUGGAACAGAGACGUGGGUAGAGAACGUGUCCGUCCACUGUCUAAGCCGUGCUGGACAACUCUAAAGGCUGGCUGGUUGUUCUGAAAGAUGAGGUGAGGAAACCUUCACUUCUGGAGUUUAUCAGGAUGAAUGGUGCCUGGGAGUGCCCUGCAGACAGGAUAGGGGCCACAAGGGUGAGAGAGCAGUGUAGCACAGUCAAAUAAGAAAAUUGCAGGAGUGAGAGGACCUCAGCUGAGAGACACUGGCAGUGUUCUACUGGUAACAGGCUGGGGUCAGAGAAGGUGGAGUUGGACACCCGCCAGAGAAGAGACCUGGCUGGCUUUAAAAGAACGUGAUGAGAGAUCCCCAGUGUAGCAGGCUCCAAAGAACAAGGGAGAGCUCCACAAUGGAGAAAGGGAUCACUUAAAUACCUUCUAAAGUCAGAGCAAGGCAGUUGACUUAAGUAGUUCCUUCCUGCUGGUCUACCUGGAAGAGUCAGAAACUGCUCUGCAUGAGAGUGUGAAAGGCAGAGAGGUACAAAGUGGUGAAAUGGUACAAAGUGGAAAUGGAGCACAGUUGACUAUGCUCCUUUUUCCACUGCAGGCUUCCAGCCCUGAAGCAAGCCCCAGCCGAGGAGAGGAGAAUCUUCAAGCGCAGAGUAUUGCCUACUACAUGGGAAUAGAUAUUUUAAUUGUGGGAAGCACAUAGUUUUUAUGAUGAAAUGUGAAAGAAGUGAUUUUUAUAAAAAAGACUGACCCAAAGACUUAUGCACCUUCCUGUGAUUUCAUCCAAGUGGCUAAAUAAAU
This 1771-nucleotide long non-coding RNA is filed under the name Vulpes vulpes (red fox). RNAcentral describes it as "lncRNA (ENSVVUG00000015955.1)". Lineage: Eukaryota; Metazoa; Chordata; Mammalia; Carnivora; Canidae. The record is from RNAcentral.